UACACUCCUGCGGGAGGCAGCAGUGGGGAAUAUUGGACAAUGGGCGCAAGCCUGAUCCAGCCAUGCCGCGUGAGUGAUGAAGGCCCUAGGGUUGUAAAGCUCUUUCACCGGAGAAGAUAAUGACGGUAUCCGGAGAAGAAGCCCCGGCUAACUUCGUGCCAGCAGCCGCGGUAAUACGAAGGGGGCUAGCGUUGUUCGGAAUUACUGGGCGUAAAGCGCACGUAGGCGGAUCGAUCAGUCAGGGGUGAAAUCCCAGGGCUCAACCCUGGAACUGCCUUUGAUACUGUCGAUCUGGAGUAUGGAAGAGGUGAGUGGAAUUCCGAGUGUAGAGGUGAAAUGCGUAGAUAUUCGGAGGAACACCAGUGGCGAAGGCGGCUCACUGGUCCAUUACUGACGCUGAGGUGCGAAAGCGUGGGGAGCAAACAGGAUUAGAAACCCUUGUAGUCCCAUGAU
Molecule: ribosomal RNA, 453 nt
Filed under: uncultured organism
Description: partial 16S ribosomal RNA
Rfam family: Bacterial small subunit ribosomal RNA
Source: RNAcentral